Molecule: non-coding RNA, 330 nt
Organism: Paralichthys olivaceus (Japanese flounder)
Lineage: Eukaryota; Metazoa; Chordata; Actinopteri; Pleuronectiformes; Paralichthyidae
Source: RefSeq, a predicted model, not a curated record
CUCAGGACCAGAGCAGAGAUGAAGGGAUACUGGGCUGAGCUGCAAAGCAGGAUGCCAGUAGGAAGUGCUGGCAAGUUUAAGGGCCGGACCUCCACCCCCUGUGUUGGAUACUGUAAGGGAUUGUUCGCCUCUGCUACAAUAAGAACAUCUACAGGUGUCAGUGACCUGAGGAGACAUGUUCACAUGCACAAUGAGCAUGAAGAUGCAACAGCCAAAAACACAACAGAAUAAAAGGACACAAACUUCAUGCUGCUCACCUCUUCUGGAAACUAUUGUACUCUUUGGCCCGUCUCCUCUUUAUUUCCUCCAGCUCAGAGGCCUCAAAGGCAG